AUUGAACGCUGGCGGCAUGCUUUACACAUGCAAGUCGAACGGCAGCGCGGGCUUCGGCCUGGCGGCGAGUGGCGAACGGGUGAGUAAUGCAUCGGAACGUGCCCAGUAGUGGGGGAUAGCCCGGCGAAAGCCGGAUUAAUACCGCAUACGACCUGAGGGUGAAAGCGGGGGAUCGAAAGGCCCCGCGCUAUUGGAGCGGCCGAUGUCGGAUUAGCUAGUUGGUGGGGUAAAGGCUUACCAAGGCGACGAUCCGUAGCUGGUCUGAGAGGACGACCAGCCACACUGGGACUGAGACACGGCCCAGACUCCUACGGGAGGCAGCAGUGGGGAAUUUUGGACAAUGGGGGCAACCCUGAUCCAGCCAUGCCGCGUGCGGGAAGAAGGCCUUCGGGUUGUAAACCGCUUUUGUUCGGGAAGAAAUCCUCUGGGCUAAUACCCCGGGGGGAUGACGGUACCGGAAGAAUAAGCACCGGCUAACUACGUG
This 484-nucleotide ribosomal RNA is filed under the name uncultured bacterium. Its description in RNAcentral is "partial 16S ribosomal RNA". It matches the Rfam family "Bacterial small subunit ribosomal RNA", at positions 28 to 507 of the family's 1533-position model. The record is from RNAcentral.